Molecule: ribosomal RNA, 755 nt
Filed under: Tubakia suttoniana
Lineage: Eukaryota; Fungi; Ascomycota; Sordariomycetes; Diaporthales; Tubakiaceae
Description: eukaryotic LSU rRNA
Rfam family: Eukaryotic large subunit ribosomal RNA
Source: RNAcentral
AACAGCUCAAAUUUGAAAUCUGGCCUCGGCCCGAGUUGUAAUUUGCAGAGGAUGCUUUUGGUGCGGUGCCUUCCGAGUUCCCUGGAACGGGACGCCACAGAGGGUGAGAGCCCCGUAUGGUCGGACACCAAUCCUGUGUAAAGCUCCUUCGACGAGUCGAGUAGUUUGGGAAUGCUGCUCUAAAUGGGAGGUAAAUCUCUUCUAAAGCUAAAUACCGGCCAGAGACCGAUAGCGCACAAGUAGAGUGAUCGAAAGAUGAAAAGCACCUUGAAAAGGGGGUUAAACAGUACGUGAAAUUGUUGAAAGGGAAGCACUUGUGACCAGACUUGGGCCGGGCGGCUCAUCAGGGGUUCUCCCCUGUGCAUUCCGCCCGGUACAGGCCAGCAUCGGUUCUUACCGGGGGAUAAGAACGGCAGGAACGUGGCUCCCUCUCGGGGGAGUGUUAUAGCCUGCCGUACGAUACCCUGGCGGGGACCGAGGUUCGCGCUUCCGCAAGGAUGCUGGCGUAAUGGUUACUAGUGACCCGUCUUGAAACACGGACCAAGGAGUCGUCCAUUAGAGCGAGCGUUUGGGUGUAAAACCCGCACGCGUAAUGAAAGUGAAAUUAGGUGAGAGCUUCGGCGCAUCAUCGACCGAUCCUGAUGUUCUCGGAUGGAUUUGAGUAAGAGUUUUAACGGACGGACCCGAAAGACAGUGAACUAUGCUUGUAUAGGGUGAAGCCAGAGGAAACUCUGGUGGAGGCUCGCAGCGGUUCU